GACGAACCGUGCGAACGUUGUUCGGAAUCACUGGGCUUAAAGGGCGCGUAGGCGGGCAGUCAAGUCAAGGGUGAAAUCCUGCGGCUCAACCGUAGAAGAGCCCCUGAUACUGGCUGCCUCGAGGGAGGUAGGGGCGUGUGGAACUUCCGGUGGAGCGGUGAAAUGCGUAGAUAUCGGGAAGAACACCCGUGGCGAAGGCGGCUCUCUGGGACGGUACUGACGCUGAGACGCGAAAGCGUGGGGAGCAAACAGG
Molecule: ribosomal RNA, 253 nt
Filed under: uncultured bacterium
Lineage: Bacteria
Description: partial 16S ribosomal RNA
Rfam family: Bacterial small subunit ribosomal RNA
Source: RNAcentral